Molecule: transfer RNA, 73 nt
Organism: Camelus ferus (Wild Bactrian camel)
Lineage: Eukaryota; Metazoa; Chordata; Mammalia; Artiodactyla; Camelidae
Rfam family: tRNA
About the family: Transfer RNA (tRNA) molecules are approximately 80 nucleotides in length. Their secondary structure includes four short double-helical elements and three loops (D, anti-codon, and T loops).
Source: Rfam
GAGGGUAUAGCUCAAGUGGUAGAUUGCAUGCUUAGCAUGCACGAGGUCCUGGGUUCAAUCCCCAGUACCCCCC